RNAcentral lists this ribosomal RNA (511 nucleotides) under uncultured bacterium. RNAcentral describes it as "bacterial SSU rRNA". It matches the Rfam family "Bacterial small subunit ribosomal RNA", at positions 36 to 507 of the family's 1533-position model. The record is from RNAcentral.
CUGGCGGCGUGCCUAAUACAUGCAAGUCGAACGCACUCUCGUUUAGAUUGAGGAGCUUGCUCCUGAUUGAUAAACAUUUGAGUGAGUGGCGGACGGGUGAGUAACACGUGGGUAACCUGCCCUAAAGUGGGGGAUAACAUUUGGAAACAGAUGCUAAUACCGCAUAAAACCUAACACCGCAUGGUGUAGGGUUGAAAGAUGGUUUCGGCUAUCACUUUAGGAUGGACCCGCGGUGCAUUAGUUAGUUGGUGAGGUAAAGGCUCACCAAGACCGUGAUGCAUAGCCGACCUGAGAGGGUAAUCGGCCACACUGGGACUGAGGCACGGCCCAGACUCCUACGGGAGGCAGCAGUAGGGAAUCUUCCACAAUGGACGAAAGUCUGAUGGAGCAACGCCGCGUGAGUGAAGAAGGUUUUCGGAUCGUAAAACUCUGUUGUUGGAGAAGAAUGUAUCUGAUAGUAACUGAUCAGGUAGUGACGGUAUCCAACCAGAAAGCCACGGCUAACUACGUG